GUUUAGGCAUUUUUCCACAUUCUAGAAUAAGUUUCAUGAAUUUAUCAUUAAAUAAAAGAUUCCCCUUUCAUAAGCCUAUUUAAAAUCAUUUUCUAUAGUAUAUCAUGAACAUUGCAAUGAAUAAAAAAAAAAUCUAAAAUAAGUGUCCGUCGUAAAAAUGUCUUGACAAUAACAUCAACCCGUAUAAGAAACGUUUGGUAUGAUACAAUUUAACCACGA
RNAcentral lists this long non-coding RNA (219 nucleotides) under Mytilus galloprovincialis (Mediterranean mussel). The record is from RNAcentral. Lineage: Eukaryota; Metazoa; Mollusca; Bivalvia; Mytilida; Mytilidae.